This 232-nucleotide ribosomal RNA is filed under the name uncultured bacterium. RNAcentral describes it as "partial 16S ribosomal RNA". It matches the Rfam family "Bacterial small subunit ribosomal RNA", at positions 99 to 334 of the family's 1533-position model. The record is from RNAcentral.
CGGACGGGUGAGUAAUGUCUGGGAAACUGCCCGAUGGAGGGGGAUAACUACUGGAAACGGUAGCUAAUACCGCAUAACGUCGCAAGACCAAAGAGGGGGACCUUCGGGCCUCUUGCCAUCGGAUGUGCCCAGAUGGGAUUAGCUAGUAGGUGAGGUAAAGGCUCACCUAGGCGACGAUCCCUAGCUGGUCUGAGAGGAUGACCAGCCACACUGGAACUGAGACACGGUCCAG